GGCGAGGGGGGCGUUACGCAGCCGGGAAGGUGAGAGACAGCGAUGCUUUCUCCUAGGGCCUGGAGCGCAAAAACCUUUGUCCCGCAGAUUUAACUAGCAGAUUCCCCAGGCUGAACCCCUCCGUUGGGCUGAAUUUAGCAGCAGAAGAGAUAACCAGGAGAUAAGGGCUGAUACCCGGGAGGAGAGAGCGGCAGGCGGCCGAGGAAAGAGGGAGAAGCUGGAGGCAGCGUUGGGAAGGGAUGCGUAUCCAGAUGUGCUGGGGUUUGGACACGCAUCUCCCUCUCCACGCCUUGCAAAAUCCCUGGCGAUUUUCUCGACAAAAGCCGGGCUUUGCUUGAAGCUUCGUUGAAUUCCGACUGAGUAUCAGCGGUUUCCUUAACAAAAAAAAAAAAAAAAAAAAAAAAAGGCAAAAAUCCAAUUAAAACCGAUUAAAACCGCCCGAGCAGCUCCACCAGGAGCAGAGAUGAUUUCAAGGACCUGCGUUGGCUUUGCCUCUUCUAGGAAAAACAACACUUAAAAAAUAAUCCCGUGGUCGGUUUUGCGUGUGCGUGGCCGGAUCCAGCCUCUUUCAGCGGGAAAAUACCGGUCCUGUGUGCCGAGCAUCGCGUCGUGGGGCGGGGAGGUGCUCACCCUGAAAAAUCAAUGCCGUGAGGAGCUGAGCCGACCCCCCAGCCUGGGAGGGAGAGGAUGGAAUUCAGACAAAUUUUAUCCCGAAAAAAAACAAAACAAAACAAACAAACAGAAAAAAAAACACAACCAAAAAACCCCAAAGGAUAGGACACCGCAGAGUGCAGCGACAAGAAAAAAUAAUAACUAAAUACCUGCUCUGCACUCGGAGGAGCUUUUUUUUUUUUCCUUCUCUCGCCCGCAAAACGAAGCGGUUAACGAAAUCUGGUUGAAAAUAAUCCUGCGGAACACACCUCGGCUUUUUCACUCUCUUUUCCAGACUCUUUUUUUCCCCUCUCAGGAAGGAAAUAAAUCGAUACGAAGCCGUUUU
Molecule: long non-coding RNA, 997 nt
Organism: Tyto alba (common barn owl)
Lineage: Eukaryota; Metazoa; Chordata; Aves; Strigiformes; Tytonidae
Exons: 3
Source: RefSeq, a predicted model, not a curated record